CCUACGGGAGACAGCAGUGAGGAAUAUUGGUCAAUGGGCGGAAGCCUGAACCAGCCAAGUCGCGUGAGGGAUUAAGGCCCUGCGGGUCGUAAACCUCUUUUGCCGGGGAGCAGUGGUCCGGACGCGUCCGGACCGGGAGAGUACCCGGAGAAAAAGCAUCGGCUAACUCCGUGCCAGCAGCCGCGGUAAUACGGAGGAUGCGAGCGUUAUCCGGAUUUAUUGGGUUUAAGGGGUGCGUAGGCGGUCCGUUAAGUCAGCGGUAAAAUUGCGGGGCUCAACCCCGUCGAGCCGUUGAAACUGGCAGACUUGAGUUGGCGAGAAGUACGCGGAAUGCGCGGUGUAGCGGUGAAAUGCAUAGAUAUCACGCAGAACCCCGAUUGCGAAGGCAGCAUACCGGUGCACAACUGACGCUCAGGCACGAAAGCGUGGGUAUCGAACAGGAUUAGAUACCCUAGUAGUC
RNAcentral lists this ribosomal RNA (460 nucleotides) under uncultured bacterium. RNAcentral describes it as "partial 16S ribosomal RNA". It matches the Rfam family "Bacterial small subunit ribosomal RNA", at positions 338 to 795 of the family's 1533-position model. The record is from RNAcentral.